Molecule: transfer RNA, 73 nt
Organism: Ipomoea nil (Japanese morning glory)
Lineage: Eukaryota; Viridiplantae; Streptophyta; Magnoliopsida; Solanales; Convolvulaceae
Rfam family: tRNA
About the family: Transfer RNA (tRNA) molecules are approximately 80 nucleotides in length. Their secondary structure includes four short double-helical elements and three loops (D, anti-codon, and T loops).
Source: Rfam
CCCCGUCUAGCUCAGUCGGUAGAGCGCAAGGCUCUUAACCUUGUGGUCCUGGGUUCAAGUCCCAGGGUGGGCG